GGGGAAUAUUGCGCAAUGGGCGAAAGCCUGACGCAGCGACGCCGCGUGGGGGAUGAAGGCCUUCGGGUUGUAAACCCCUUUCAGCAGGGACGAAGCGAACGUGACGGUACCUGCAGAAGAAGCGCCGGCUAACUACGUGCCAGCAGCCGCGGUAACACGUAGGGCGCAAGCGUUGUCCGGAAUUAUUGGGCGUAAAGAGCUCGUAGGCGGUCUGUUGCGUCCGCUGUGAAAACUCGGGGCUUAACCCCGAGCCUGCAGUGGAUACGGGCAGACUAGAGGUAGGUAGGGGUGACUGGAAUUCCUGGUGUAGCGGUGGAAUGCGCAGAUAUCAGGAGGAACACCGAUGGCGAAGGCAGGUCACUGGGCCGCAACUGACGCUGAGGAGCGAAAGCAUGGGGAGCGAACA
Molecule: ribosomal RNA, 406 nt
Filed under: uncultured Actinomycetales bacterium
Lineage: Bacteria; Bacillati; Actinomycetota; Actinomycetes; Actinomycetales
Description: bacterial SSU rRNA
Rfam family: Bacterial small subunit ribosomal RNA
Source: RNAcentral